This is a long non-coding RNA of Python bivittatus (Burmese python), 586 nucleotides long. RefSeq lists it as uncharacterized. Lineage: Eukaryota; Metazoa; Chordata; Lepidosauria; Squamata; Pythonidae. The record is from RefSeq and is a predicted model, not a curated record.
GCCAGCUAAUCAUGAGGAAACCCACAGGAUCCAGAGGGACCCUGUGGGCAAUUCGCAAGUAAAGAGUGCUAGGAGCCCUGGGAGAGAGCAGUCUGCUCACAGCCUCAAGCGAAGCCUAUUUAAAGGACACCGGGUUCACCCAAUCCACUUUCUAGAACACUUUUGGAUGGAGAAAAUUUAAAGUGUAAAGAGACCUUCAAAGCAGGAGAGUGCCCAAAGCCACCCAGUGAAUGAAGGUGAAGAUUCCAGCCUGGCUUAAUUCACUUUUUCUCAUCACACUUCAACUAAAUUCUCUUCCCAAACAAAUUAAUAAAAGACGCAUAAUAUAAUACAAUAUAUAACACAUAAUGCAAUUUUCAGUAGGGAACAAAGACAGCUGUUGAUCUUGUUUUCAAACCCAUUUCCCUCCCAGGCUGACUUCCUGCUACACAUAGGCUAUAUUCCCACCACGUGCCAAACCAGAAAUCCAUUCCCAAGAAUAAGCAUCAGUUAAACUGACAGCAUAACUGCACAGAGUACUUGUACUAACAGCAUGCAAGCUCGCUGUCUUUAAAGGAAACGGGCACAUUUCUUCUGGCCUUCCUCU